RNAcentral lists this ribosomal RNA (497 nucleotides) under uncultured bacterium. Its description in RNAcentral is "partial 16S ribosomal RNA". It matches the Rfam family "Bacterial small subunit ribosomal RNA", at positions 28 to 507 of the family's 1533-position model. The record is from RNAcentral.
GAUGAACGCUGGCGGCGUGCCUAAUACAUGCAAGUCGAGCGAACGGACGAGAAGCUUGCUUUUCUGAUGUUAGCGGCGGACGGGUGAGUAACACGUGGAUAACCUACCUAUAAGACUGGGAUAACUUCGGGAAACCGGAGCUAAUACCGGAUAAUAUUUUGAACCGCAUGGUUCAAAAGUGAAAGACGGUCUUGCUGUCACUUAUAGAUGGAUCCGCGCUGCAUUAGCUAGUUGGUAAGGUAACGGCUUACCAAGGCAACGAUGCAUAGCCGACCUGAGAGGGGGGUCGGCCACCAGAGACGGGGAACGGGCCCAAGCCUCCUACGGGAGGCAGCAGAAGGAAAUCUUCGGCAGGGGGCGAAAACCUGACGGAACGGCUCCGAGUGGGUGAUAGAGGUUUUGGGAGCGUAAGCCUCUUUUAUGGGGGAAAAACAUAUGUAUAAGUAGCUGUGCACUUCUUGACGGUCACUAAUAAAAAAGCACCGGCUAACUACGUG